CGAGUACUGUGAUGGCAGAGCGUGCAAUGCCACUUGCAAAAAAGAGGCCGAACAUUCGCACGACCGGGGCGUCUACGGGAAGUGCGAUUCGAAGGGCGCCUGCCGCUGCUACCAUAAGGAGAUUUGCGCUGCGGACACAUGCAAAACCAUGUGUGAAGUGAGGCACGGAUCCGAGGAAAACCUGAGACACGAAUGUGCCAAUGACGUCUGCACUUGCACUUGGACCAAAGGAUGCAACCCUGCUGCAUGUGAAGCCGCGUGCCAGAAAGUCUACGCCGGAAAGCCAAACAUAGAAUCCCGGUGCGAGAGCACCCUGUGCCACUGCAGUUGGCAUGAAGG
This is a long non-coding RNA of Rhipicephalus sanguineus (brown dog tick), 339 nucleotides long. RefSeq lists it as uncharacterized. The transcript has 3 exons. The record is from RefSeq and is a predicted model, not a curated record. NCBI's taxonomy places the organism in Eukaryota, Metazoa, Arthropoda, Arachnida, Ixodida, Ixodidae.